UACGAAGGGGGCUAGCGUUGUUCGGAAUUACUGGGCGUAAAGCGCACGCAGGCGGCGCGUUAAGUCAGGGGUGAAAGGCCUGGGCUCAACCCAGGAAUUGCCUUUGAGACUGGCGCGCUCGAGUCCGGAAGAGGGUAGUGGAAUUCCCAGUGUAGAGGUGAAAUUCGUAGAUAUUGGGAAGAACACCGGUGGCGAAGGCGGCUACCUGGUCCGGUACUGACGCUCAAGUGCGAAAGCGUGGGGAGCAAAC
This 250-nucleotide ribosomal RNA is filed under the name uncultured bacterium. Its description in RNAcentral is "partial 16S ribosomal RNA". It matches the Rfam family "Bacterial small subunit ribosomal RNA", at positions 524 to 773 of the family's 1533-position model. The record is from RNAcentral.